GAUGAACGCUGGCGGCGUGCCUAAUACAUGCAAGUCGAGCGAACAGACGAGGAGCUUGCUCCUCUGACGUUAGCGGCGGACGGGUGAGUAACACGUGGAUAACCUACCUAUAAGACUGGGAUAACUUCGGGAAACCGGAGCUAAUGCCGGAUAAUAUAUUGAACCGCAUGGUUCAAUAGUGAAAGACGGUUUUGCUGUCACUUAUAGAUGGAUCCGCGCCGCAUUAGCUAGUUGGUAAGGUAACGGCUUACCAAGGCAACGAUGCGUAGCCGACCUGAGAGGGUGAUCGGCCACACUGGAACUGAGACACGGUCCAGACUCCUACGGGAGGCAGCAGUAGGGAAUCUUCCGCAAUGGGCGAAAGCCUGACGGAGCAACGCCGCGUGAGUGAUGAAGAUCUUCGGAUCGUAAAACUCUGUUAUUAGGGAAGAACAAAUGUGUAAGUAACUAUGCACGUCUUGACGGUACCUAAUCAGAAAGCCACGGCUAACUACGUG
RNAcentral lists this ribosomal RNA (497 nucleotides) under uncultured bacterium. Its description in RNAcentral is "partial 16S ribosomal RNA". It matches the Rfam family "Bacterial small subunit ribosomal RNA", at positions 28 to 507 of the family's 1533-position model. The record is from RNAcentral.